This 606-nucleotide ribosomal RNA is filed under the name uncultured Actinomycetes bacterium. RNAcentral describes it as "bacterial SSU rRNA". It matches the Rfam family "Bacterial small subunit ribosomal RNA", at positions 252 to 866 of the family's 1533-position model. Lineage: Bacteria; Bacillati; Actinomycetota; Actinomycetes. The record is from RNAcentral.
GUGAGGUAACGGCUCACCAAGGCAUCGACGGGUAGCUGGUCUGAGAGGAUGAUCAGCCACACUGGGACUGAGACACGGCCCAGACUCCUACGGGAGGCAGCAGCAGGGAAUAUUGCGCAAUGGGCGAAAGCCUGACGCAGCGACACCGCGUGAGGGAUGAAGGCCUUCGGGUUGUAAACCUCUUUCAGUGGGGAAGAAGCGAAAGUGACCGUACCCACAGAAGAAGCCCCGGCCAACUACGUGCCAGCAGCCGCGGUAAUACGUAGGGGGCGAGCGUUGUCCGGAUUCAUUGGGCGUAAAGAGCUCGUAGGCGGCUUGGUAAGUCGGCUGUGAAAUUCCGGGGCUCAACCCCGGACCGCCAGUCGAAACUGCCAUGGCUAGGGUCCGGUAGAGGAGAGUGGAAUUCCCGGUGUAGCGGUGAAAUGCGCAGAUAUCGGGAGGAACACCAGUAGCGAAGGCGGCUCUCUGGGCCGGUACCGACGCUGAGGAGCGAAAGCGUGGGGAGCGAACAGGAUUAGAUACCCUGGUAGUCCACGCCGUAAACGUUGGGCACUAGGUGUGGCGGGUUCAUCAAUGCCUGCCGUACCGAAGCUAACGCGUUAAGUG